AGGACUAACGCUGGCGGCGUGCCUAACACAUGCAAGUCGAACGAGGGGUAGCAAUACCCCUAGUGGCAGACGGGUGAGUAACACGUAGUCAACCUACCUCUUAAUGGGGGAUAACUAGCCGAAAGGUUAGCUAAUACCGCAUACGAUCGUCGAGUGGCAUCACACGACGAUGAAAGGAGCAAUCCGUUGAGAGAGGGGACUGCGUCCCAUUAGUUAGUUGGUGGGGUAAUGGCCUACCAAGACUCCGAUGGGUAGCUGGCUUGAGAGAGCGACCAGCCACACUGGAACUGAGACACGGUCCAGACUCCUACGGGAGGCAGCAGUGAGGAAUUUUCCGCAAUGGGGGAAACCCUGACGGAGCGACGCCGCGUGUGGGAAGAAGGCCUUCGGGUCGUAAACCACUGUCGAGGGGGACGAUAUUGACGGUACCCCUGGAGGAAGCCCGGCUAACUACGUGCCAGCAGCCGC
RNAcentral lists this ribosomal RNA (468 nucleotides) under uncultured bacterium. RNAcentral describes it as "SSU rRNA". It matches the Rfam family "Bacterial small subunit ribosomal RNA", at positions 26 to 518 of the family's 1533-position model. The record is from RNAcentral.